This 474-nucleotide ribosomal RNA is filed under the name uncultured bacterium. RNAcentral describes it as "bacterial SSU rRNA". It matches the Rfam family "Bacterial small subunit ribosomal RNA", at positions 28 to 507 of the family's 1533-position model. The record is from RNAcentral.
GACGAACGCUGGCGGCGUGCCUAACACAUGCAAGUCGAGCGGAGAUAAGCGGAUGGUAACUGAAGUUUGUCUUAGCGGCGGACGGGUGAGUAACACGUGGGCAACCUGCCUUGGAGUGGGGGAUAACACCGGGAAAUCGGUGCUAAUACCGCAUAACAUACACAUACUGCAUGGUGAGUGUAUCAAAGGAGCAAUCCGCUUUAAAGAUGGGCCCGCGGCUGAUUAGCUAGUUGGUAAGGUAACGGCUUACCAAGGCGACGAUCAGUAGCCGACCUGAGAGGGUGAUCGGCCACACUGGAACUGAGAGACGGUCCAGACUCCUACGGGAGGCAGCAGUGGGGAAUAUUGGGCAAUGGGGGAAACCCUGACCCAGCAACGCCGCGUGAGGGAAGAAGGUUUUCGGAUUGUAAACCUCUGUCCUUGGUGAAGAAAGAGAUGACGGUAGCCAAAGGAGGAAGCCCCGGUAACUACGUG